GGGGAUUUAGCUUGACGGCAUAAGCGCCUGCCUUGCAAGCAGGUAGUUGUCAGUUCGAUCCCUG
Cavia porcellus (domestic guinea pig) is the source of this 64-nucleotide non-coding RNA. NCBI's taxonomy places the organism in Eukaryota, Metazoa, Chordata, Mammalia, Rodentia, Caviidae. The record is from Rfam.